GUGGGGAAUAUUGGACAAUGGGGGAAACCCUGAUCCAGCCAUGCCGCGUGAGUGAUGAAGGCCUUAGGGUUGUAAAGCUCUUUCGACGGGGACGAUGAUGACGGUACCCGUAGAAGAAGCCCCGGCUAACUUCGUGCCAGCAGCCGCGGUAAUACGAAGGGGGCUAGCGUUGUCCGGAAUUACUGGGCGUAAAGCGCGCGUAGGCGGCUACACAAGUCGGGCGUGAAAGCCCGGGGCUCAACCCCGGAAAUGCGCCCGAGACUGUGUGGCUUGAGACCGGGAGAGGAGAGUGGAAUUCCCAGUGUAGAGGUGAAAUUCGUAGAUAUUGGGAAGAACACCGGUGGCGAAGGCGGCUCUCUGGUCCGGUUCUGACGCUGAGGCGCGAAAGCGUGGGGAGCAAACAGGAUUAGAAACCCUAGUAGUCC
Molecule: ribosomal RNA, 425 nt
Filed under: uncultured bacterium
Lineage: Bacteria
Description: bacterial SSU rRNA
Rfam family: Bacterial small subunit ribosomal RNA
Source: RNAcentral